Molecule: ribosomal RNA, 897 nt
Filed under: uncultured bacterium
Lineage: Bacteria
Description: bacterial SSU rRNA
Rfam family: Bacterial small subunit ribosomal RNA
Source: RNAcentral
AGAGUUUGAUCCUGGCUCAGGACUAACGCUGGCGGCGUGCUUAACACAUGCAAGUUGAACGGGGCAAGUUUGUAGCAAUAUGAACUUGCUUAGUAGCGGACGGGUGAGUAACGCGUGAGCAACCUACCUUUGUGAGGGGGACAACAGCCGGAAACGGCUGCUAAUACCGCAUAAGGCCACGACUCCGAGUGGAGUUGAGGUAAAAGAUUUAUCGCACAAAGAUGGGCUCGCGUCCCAUUAGCUAGUUGGCGGGGUAACGGCCCACCAAGGCGACGAUGGGUAGCCGACCUGAGAGGGUGAUCGGCCACACUGGAACUGAGACACGGUCCAGACUCCUACGGGAGGCAGCAGUGGGGAAUAUUGGGCAAUGGGCGCAAGCCUGACCCAGCAACGCCGCGUGAGGGAAGAAGGUCUUCGGAUUGUAAACCUCUGUCCUAUGGGACGAAACAAAUGACGGUACCAUAGGAGGAAGCUCCGGCUAACUACGUGCCAGCAGCCGCGGUAAUACGUAGGGAGCGAGCGUUGUCCGGAAUUACUGGGCGUAAAGGGUGCGUAGGCGGCAUUGCAAGUCAGAUGUGAAAUCCCCGGGCUUAACUCGGGGGGUGCAUUUGAAACUGCGAUGCUUGAGUGCAGGAGAGGAAAGCGGAAUUCCUAGUGUAGCGGUGAAAUGCGUAGAUAUUAGGAAGAACACCAGUGGCGAAGGCGGCUUUCUGGACUGUAACUGACGCUGAGGCACGAAAGCGUGGGGAGCAAACAGGAUUAGAUACCCUGGUAGUCCACGCUGUAAACGAUGGAUACUAGGUGUGGGGGAGAUACAACCUCUGUGCCGGAGCAAACGCAAUAAGUAUCCCGCCUGGGGAGUACGGCCGCAAGGCUGAAACUCAAAGGAAUUGACGG